Molecule: non-coding RNA, 213 nt
Organism: Pelobates cultripes (western spadefoot toad)
Lineage: Eukaryota; Metazoa; Chordata; Amphibia; Anura; Pelobatidae
Source: the annotation of a GenBank genome assembly
GUUCCUCUGGCCGCCUCAGGGGGAAACGGUUAACCUCCUCGAAUGCAGCCUCUCUUUGGCUGCUGUAACACUCCUUCCGCUGAGCAUAUUCUCUCUCUUUCGCCAGCCGGAAUUCUCGGUCCAUCCUUGUGUUUUGCUCGGCUGUGACCUGGUUCCAGAUCGCCUGGAAUAUAUCCAUGGGCACAUUAUCACCAUACUGGGCCACUCGCUGCC